CACCAGACUCCUACGGGAGGCAGCAGUGAGGAAUAUUGGUCAAUGGGCUUACGCCUGAACCAGCCAAGUCGCGUGAGGGAGUACUGCCCUAUGGGUUGUAAACCUCUUUUGUCGGGGAGCAAAAGCCGGACGUGUCCGGCUGUGAGAGUACCCGAAGAAAAAGCAUCGGCUAACUCCGUGCCAGCAGCCGCGGUAAUACGGAGGAUGCGAGCGUUAUCCGGAUUUAUUGGGUUUAAAGGGUGCGCAGGCGGUCUGUUAAGUCAGCGGUCAAAGCCCGGGGCUCAACCCCGGUCCGCCGUUGAAACUGGCAGUCUCGAGUUGGAGAGAAGUAUGCGGAAUGCGCGGUGUAGCGGUGAAAUGCAUAGAUAUCGCGCAGAACUCCGAUUGCGAAGGCAGCAUGCCGGCUCCACACUGACGCUGAGGCACGAAAGCGUGGGUAUCGAACAGGAUUAGAUACCCUAGUACAG
Molecule: ribosomal RNA, 467 nt
Filed under: uncultured bacterium
Lineage: Bacteria
Description: bacterial SSU rRNA
Rfam family: Bacterial small subunit ribosomal RNA
Source: RNAcentral